This 141-nucleotide ribosomal RNA is filed under the name uncultured bacterium. Its description in RNAcentral is "partial 16S ribosomal RNA". It matches the Rfam family "Bacterial small subunit ribosomal RNA", at positions 1360 to 1500 of the family's 1533-position model. The record is from RNAcentral.
CGGUGAAUACGUUCCCGGGCCUUGUACACACCGCCCGUCACACCAUGAGAGUUGGAAAUACCCGAAGCCUGUGAGCUAACAGUAAUGAGGCAGCAGUCGAAGGUAGAGCCAAUGAUUGGGGUGAAGUCGUAACAAGGUAAC